UGGUACCUACUGAUAAUCUCAGGUUUCUUGCAUUUCUAUCACACGUUAUUUUCUCUUGUGAUUUUGGCAAUUUUGGUUUCUAACACAAGUUUCGUUCCAUAUUUCAGAUCUAACACUUCAGGAAGUGCUGAUUUGGUUGCCUGAUGUCGACUGCUGAGGAAGAAACCUCUUGUAUUCUUCGAGUAGGGAAAAUGGAGCAAAUUGAUUUCAAAUUGGGAGCUGUAAUUUAUAAUCAGCUGGUGAAGGUAAUGUGGGACAGGAAGUUAUCAGUCAACCUCGUUUGGUUUAGGGUUUAAGGUUUAUGGUGCAUUUUCAUGUCUUUAUCAAUUGCUUAAGCUUCCAAUUAUGCUGCUGUUGCUGCUAUUUGUAGUGACUGGAAACUGUUGUAAAUAUUGUUUUUGGAUUUUGUUGCAAGGUGCCAUUUUUAGUUUUAGGGUUAA
This is a long non-coding RNA of Salvia miltiorrhiza (redroot sage), 440 nucleotides long. RefSeq lists it as uncharacterized. The record is from RefSeq and is a predicted model, not a curated record. NCBI's taxonomy places the organism in Eukaryota, Viridiplantae, Streptophyta, Magnoliopsida, Lamiales, Lamiaceae. The transcript is spliced from 2 exons.